CAGCAGCCACGGGAAUACGGAGGGUGCAAGCGUUAAUCGGAAUUACUGGGCGUAAAGCGCACGCAGGCGGUCUGACAAGUCAGAUGUGAAAUCCCCGGGCUUAACCUGGGAACUGCAUUUGAAACUGUCAGGCUGGAGUCUUGUAGAGGGGGGUGGAAUUUCAGGUGUAGCGGUGAAAUGCGUAGAGAUCUGGAGGAAUACCGGUGGCGAAGGCGGCCCCCUGGACAAAGACUGACGCUCAGGUGCGAAAGCGUGGGGAGCAAACAGGAUUAGAUACCCCGGUAGUCCCUGUCUCUUAUAC
RNAcentral lists this ribosomal RNA (301 nucleotides) under uncultured bacterium. RNAcentral's name for it is "partial 16S ribosomal RNA". It matches the Rfam family "Bacterial small subunit ribosomal RNA", at positions 509 to 807 of the family's 1533-position model. The record is from RNAcentral.